RNAcentral lists this ribosomal RNA (1277 nucleotides) under human gut metagenome. RNAcentral's name for it is "bacterial LSU rRNA". It matches the Rfam family "Bacterial large subunit ribosomal RNA", at positions 1251 to 2539 of the family's 2925-position model. The record is from RNAcentral.
UGAAGUCGUACCGUAAGGAGCGGUGGACUGGUUACGAGUGAGAAUGUUGGCAUCAGUAGCGAGAUGUGGGUGAGAAUCCCACAGGCCGAAAACCUAAGGUUUCCUCAGGAAGGUUCGUCCGCUGAGGGUUAGUCGGGACCUAAGCCGAGGCCGAAAGGCGUAGGUGAUGGACAACUGGUUGAUAUUCCAGUACCACUACCAUCGUUAUUAUCGAUGGCGUGACGCAGGAGGAUAGUGUGUGCUAGCUAUUGGAUGCUAGUCUAAGCGUUUAGGCAGUGAGAGUAGGCAAAUCCGCUCUCAUAAUGCUGAGGCGUGAUGGGGAAGGUUCUACGGAACCGAAGUACAUGAUUCCACGCUGCCAAGAAAAGCGUCUAGAGAGAGAAGUAGUGCCCGUACCGCAAACCGACACAGGUAGGUGAGGAGAGAAUCCUAAGGCCGGCGGAAGAAUUACAGUUAAGGAACUCGGCAAAUUGACCCCGUAAGUUCGCGAGAAGGGGUGCCUACGAGAGUAGGCCGCAGAGAAUAGGCCCAAGCAACUGUUUAGCAAAAACACAGGUCUCUGCUAAAGCGUAAGCUGAUGUAUAGGGGCUGACGCCUGCCCGGUGCUGGAAGGUUAAGGGGAACACUUAGCGCAAGCGAAGGUGUGAACUUAAGCCCCAGUAAACGGCGGCCGUAACUAUAACGGUCCUAAGGUAGCGAAAUUCCUUGUCAGGUAAGUUCUGACCCGCACGAAUGGCGUAAUGACUUGGGCACUGUCUCAACUGUAAAUCCGGCGAAGUUGUAGUGCGAGUGAAGAUGCUCGCUACCCGCGAUUGGACGGAAAGACCCCGUAGAGCUUUACUGUAGCUUAGCAUUGAGUUUUGGUAUUGUCUGUACAGGAUAGGUGGGAGACUAGGAAACCAGGGCGUCAGCCUUGGUGGAGUCAACCUUGGGAUACCACCCUGACAGUACUGAAAUUCUAACUGGCGGCCAUGAAUCUGGUCACAGGACAUUGUUAGGUGGGCAGUUUGACUGGGGCGGUCGCCUCCUAAAAAGUAACGGAGGCGCCCAAAGGUUCCCUCAGAACGGUCGGAAAUCGUUCGAAGAGUGCAAAGGCAGAAGGGAGCCUGACUGCGACACCCACAAGUGGAGCAGGGACGAAAGUCGGGCUUAGUGAUCCGGUGGUACCUCGUGGGAGGGCCAUCGCUCAACGGAUAAAAGCUACCUCGGGGAUAACAGGCUGAUCUCCCCCAAGAGUCCACAUCGACGGGGAGGUUUGGCACCUCGAUGUCGGCUCG